This 210-nucleotide long non-coding RNA is filed under the name Polistes fuscatus (common paper wasp). RNAcentral describes it as "uncharacterized LOC122521448". Lineage: Eukaryota; Metazoa; Arthropoda; Insecta; Hymenoptera; Vespidae. The record is from RNAcentral.
UGCCAUCACAACCCCAGUUAGAAAUGCAGUGUACGUCGUUGGCAUAAUCUAAUGUUGAGGAUAAAAUAUUUGUUUUUUUAAUAGAUUACUAUAUUGUUCCCAUUUUGCAUAUUAUUCAUAUGAAAUAUAUUUAAAUGUUAUGUGACAAAAAGGCUGUACAAGAAUUGGCACGGAAAUGGACAUUACAUAUAGAAAAUAGAAAAUAGAAAA